Molecule: ribosomal RNA, 459 nt
Filed under: uncultured bacterium
Lineage: Bacteria
Description: SSU rRNA
Rfam family: Bacterial small subunit ribosomal RNA
Source: RNAcentral
AGAAUCAACGCUGGCGGCGUGCCUAACACAUGCAAGUCGCACGAGAAAGGGGAGCAAUCCCUGAGUACAGUGGCGCACGGGUGAGUAACACGUGAAUAAUCUACCUCCGAGUGGGGAAUAACUGAGAGAAAUCUUAGCUAAUACCGCAUAACACUUACGAGUCAAAGCAGCAAUGCGCUUGGAGAGGAGUUCGCGGCCGAUUAGUUAGUUGGCGGGGUAAUGGCCCACCAAGACGAUGAUCGGUAUCCGGCCUGAGAGGGCGCACGGACACACUGGAACUGAAACACGGUCCAGACUCCUACGGAGGCAGCAGUGGGGAAUUUUGCGCAAUGGGGGAAACCCUGACGCAGCAACGCCGCGUGGAGGAUGAAGCCCCUUGGGGUGUAAACUCCUUUCGAUCGGGAAGAUAAUGACGGUACCGAUAUAAGAAGCCCCGGCUAACUUCGUGCCAGCAGCCGC